RNAcentral lists this unclassified non-coding RNA (400 nucleotides) under soil metagenome. RNAcentral describes it as "partial contains 5.8S ribosomal RNA, internal transcribed spacer 2, and large subunit ribosomal RNA". The stretch from base 1 to 122 matches the Rfam family "5.8S ribosomal RNA", at positions 35 to 154 of the family's 154-position model. The record is from RNAcentral.
GAUGAAGAACGCAGCGAAAUGCGAUACUUGGUGUGAAUUGCAGAAUCCCGUGAACCAUCGAGUCUUUGAACGCAAGUUGCGCCUCAAGCCAUUAGGUUGAGGGCACGUCUGCCUGGGCGUCACAUAUCGUUGCCUGAUGCCAGUUUCCUCGUGAUGGGUGACUGUGCAGGGCGAAUGAUGGCUUCCCGUGAGCAUUGUUGCCUCAUGGUUGGUUGAAAAUUGAGUCCUUGGUAGGGAGCGCCGUGAUAGAUGGUGGUUGAGUGACGAACGAGACCCAAUCAUGUGAGACCCCUACCGAAUUUAGCCUUCAUGACCCACAUGCGUCUUUGGAACGCUCAUGACGAGACCUCAGGUCAGGCGGGGCUACCCGCUGAGUUUAAGCAUAUCAAUAAGCGGAGGA